GUCUUCGUAGUAUAACAAAAUACACUGGUCUUGUAAACCAAAAAUGGAGAAUAAACCCUCCCCAAGACU
RNAcentral lists this transfer RNA (69 nucleotides) under Pontoporia blainvillei (franciscana). RNAcentral's name for it is "transfer RNA-Thr". It matches the Rfam family "tRNA". Rfam says of the family: Transfer RNA (tRNA) molecules are approximately 80 nucleotides in length. Their secondary structure includes four short double-helical elements and three loops (D, anti-codon, and T loops). Further hydrogen bonds mediate the characteristic L-shaped molecular structure. tRNAs have two regions of fundamental functional importance: the anti-codon, which is responsible for specific mRNA codon recognition, and the 3' end, to which the tRNAs corresponding amino acid is attached (by aminoacyl-tRNA synthetases). tRNAs cope with the degeneracy of the genetic code in two manners: having more than one tRNA (with a specific anti-codon) for a particular amino acid; and 'wobble' base-pairing, i.e. permitting non-standard base-pairing at the 3rd anti-codon position. The record is from RNAcentral. Lineage: Eukaryota; Metazoa; Chordata; Mammalia; Artiodactyla; Pontoporiidae.